GAUGAACGCUGGCGGCGUGCCUAAUACAUGCAAGUCGAGCGAACGGACGAGAAGCUUGCUUCUCUGAUGUUAGCGGCGGACGGGUGAGUAACACGUGGAUAACCUACCUAUAAGACUGGGAUAACUUCGGGAAACCGGAGCUAAUACCGGAUAAUAUUUUGAACCGCAUGGUUCAAAAGUGAAAGACGGUCUUGCUGUCACUUAUAGAUGGAUCCGCGCUGCAUUAGCUAGUUGGUAAGGUAACGGCUUACCAAGGCAACGAUGCAUAGCCGACCUGAGAGGGUGAUCGGCCACACUGGAACUGAGACACGGUCCAGACUCCUACGGGAGGCAGCAGUAGGGAAUCUUCCGCAAUGGGCGAAAGCCUGACGGAGCAACGCCGCGUGAGUGAUGAAGGUCUUCGGAUCGUAAAACUCUGUUAUUAGGGAAGAAUAUAUGUGUAAGUAACUGUGCACAUCUUGACGGUACCUAAUCAGAAAGCCACGGCUAACUACGUGCCAGCAGCCGCGGUAAUACGUAGGUGGCAAGCGUUAUCCGGAAUUAUUGGGCGUAAAGCGCGCGUAGGCGGUUUUUUAAGUCUGAUGUGAAAGCCCACGGCUCAACCGUGGAGGGUCAUUGGAAACUGGAAAACUUGAGUGCAGAAGAGGAAAGUGGAAUUCCAUGUGUAGCGGUGAAAUGCGCAGAGAUAUGGAGGAACACCAGUGGCGAAGGCGACUUUCUGGUCUGUAACUGACGCUGAUGUGCGAAAGCGUGGGGAUCAAACAGGAUUAGGUACCCUGGUAGUCCGCGCCGUAAACGAUGAGUGCUAAGUGUUAGGGGGUUUCCGCCCCUUAGUGCUGCAGCUAACGCAUUAAGCACUCCGCCUGGGGAGUACGACCGCAAGGUUGAAACUCAAAGGAAUUGACGGGGACCCGCACAAGCGGUGGAGCAUGUGGUUUAAUUCGAAGCAACGCGAAGAACCUUACCAAAUCUUGACAUCCUUUGACAACUCUAGAGAUAGAGCCUUCCCCUUCGGGGGACAAAGUGACAGGUGGUGCAUGGUUGUCGUCAGCUCGUGUCGUGAGAUGUUGGGUUAAGUCCCGCAACGAGCGCAACCCUUAAGCUUAGUUGCCAUCAUUAAGUUGGGCACUCUAAGUUGACUGCCGGUGACAAACCGGAGGAAGGUGGGGAUGACGUCAAAUCAUCAUGCCCCUUAUGAUUUGGGCUACACACGUGCUACAAUGGACAAUACAAAGGGCAGCGAAACCGCGAGGUCAAGCAAAUCCCAUAAAGUUGUUCUCAGUUCGGAUUGUAGUCUGCAACUCGACUACAUGAAGCUGGAAUCGCUAGUAAUCGUAGAUCAGCAUGCUACGGUGAAUACGUUCCCGGGUCU
Molecule: ribosomal RNA, 1372 nt
Filed under: uncultured bacterium
Lineage: Bacteria
Description: bacterial SSU rRNA
Rfam family: Bacterial small subunit ribosomal RNA
Source: RNAcentral